CGGAUUGUAGUCUGCAACCCGACCUANAUGAAGCUGGAAUCGCUAGUAAUCGCGAAUCAGAAUGUCGCGGUGAAUACGUUCCCGGGUCUUGUACACACCGCCCGUCACACCAUGGGAGUCGGAAAUGCCCGAAGUCAGUGACCUAACCGAAAGGGAGGAGCUGCCGAAGGUGGAGCCGGUAACUGGGGUGAAGUCGUAACAAGGUACC
Molecule: ribosomal RNA, 208 nt
Filed under: uncultured bacterium
Lineage: Bacteria
Description: partial 16S ribosomal RNA
Rfam family: Bacterial small subunit ribosomal RNA
Source: RNAcentral